GAUGAAUGCUAGCGGCAGGCUUAAUACAUGCAAGUCGUGGGGCAGCAUGAGUAGCAAUACUUGAUGGCGACUGGCAAACGGGUGCGGAACACGUACACAACCUUCCGAUAAGUGGGGAAUAGCCCAGAGAAAUUUGGAUUAAUACCCCGUAACAUAUAGAGUAGGCAUCUUCUUUAUAUUAUAGCUUCGGCGCUUAUUGAUGGGUGUGCGUCUGAUUAGGUAGUUGGCGGGGUAACGGCCCACCAAGCCUACGAUCAGUAGCUGAUGUGAGAGCAUGAUCAGCCACACGGGCACUGAGACACGGGCCAGACUCCUACGGGAGGCAGCAGUAAGGAAUAUUGGACAAUGGGCGAAAGCCUGAUCCAGCCAUGCCGCGUGAAGGAUUAAGGUCCUCUGGAUUGUAAAACUCUGUCACUGGGGAAGAAACGCUUUGAGUUAAUAGUUCAAAGCCUGACUUAACCCGGAGAGGAAGCAGUGGCUAACUCUGUGCCAGCCGCCGCAGUAA
This 505-nucleotide ribosomal RNA is filed under the name uncultured bacterium. RNAcentral describes it as "partial 16S ribosomal RNA". It matches the Rfam family "Bacterial small subunit ribosomal RNA", at positions 28 to 523 of the family's 1533-position model. The record is from RNAcentral.